AGUGAACGCUGGCGGUAGGCCUAACACAUGCAAGUCGAACGGCAGCACAGUAAGAGCUUGCUCUUACGGGUGGCGAGUGGCGGACGGGUGAGGAAUACAUCGGAAUCUACUUUUUCGUGGGGGAUAACGUAGGGAAACUUACGCUAAUACCGCAUACGACCUACGGGUGAAAGCAGGGGAUCUUCGGACCUUGCGCGAUUGAAUGAGCCGAUGUCGGAUUAGCUAGUUGGCGGGGUAAAGGCCCACCAAGGCGACGAUCCGUAGCUGGUCUGAGAGGAUGAUCAGCCACACUGGAACUGAGACACGGUCCAGACUCCUACGGGAGGCAGCAGUGGGGAAUAUUGGACAAAGGGCGCAAGCCUGAUCCAGCCAUACCGCGUGGGUGGAGAAGGCCUUCGGGUUGUAAAGCCCUUUUGUUGGGAAAGAAAAGCAGCAGGUUAAUACCCCGCUGUUCUGACGGUACCCAAAGAAUAAGCACCGGCUAACUUCGUG
RNAcentral lists this ribosomal RNA (492 nucleotides) under uncultured bacterium. RNAcentral describes it as "partial 16S ribosomal RNA". It matches the Rfam family "Bacterial small subunit ribosomal RNA", at positions 29 to 507 of the family's 1533-position model. The record is from RNAcentral.